RNAcentral lists this ribosomal RNA (467 nucleotides) under uncultured bacterium. RNAcentral's name for it is "partial 16S ribosomal RNA". It matches the Rfam family "Bacterial small subunit ribosomal RNA", at positions 28 to 507 of the family's 1533-position model. The record is from RNAcentral.
GAUGAACGCUGGCGGCGUGCUUAACACAUGCAAGUCGAACGGAAAGGCUCCUGCUUACAGGGGUACUCGAGUGGCGAACGGGUGAGUAACACGUGGGUGAUCUGCCCUGCACUUCGGGAUAAGCCUGGGAAACUGGGUCUAAUACCGGAUAGGACCACAUUUUGGAUGGUGUGGUGGAAAGUUUUUCGGUGUGGGAUGAGCUCGCGGCCUAUCAGCUUGUUGGUGGGGUAAUGGCCUACCAAGGCGUCGACGGGUAGCCGGCCUGUGAGGGUGUACGGCGACAUUGGGACUGAGAUACGGCGCAGACUCCUACGGGGGGCAGCAGUGGGGAAUAUUGCACAAUGGGGGCAAGCCUGAUGCAGCGACGCCGCGUGGGGGAUGACGGCCUUCGGGUUGUAAACUCCUUUCGCUAGGGACGAAGCGUUUUUGUGACGGUACCUGGAGAAGAAGCACCGGCUAACUACGUG